This 333-nucleotide small nuclear RNA is filed under the name Mus spicilegus (steppe mouse). RNAcentral's name for it is "7SK RNA (ENSMSIG00000002525.1)". It matches the Rfam family "7SK RNA". Rfam says of the family: 7SK was discovered as an abundant small nuclear RNA in the mid-70s but a possible function has only recently been suggested. Two independent studies have found that 7SK RNA binds the CDK9/cyclin T complex (known as elongation factor P-TEFb). Lineage: Eukaryota; Metazoa; Chordata; Mammalia; Rodentia; Muridae. The record is from RNAcentral.
UGACGCCUGUGUCUCUUGCUGUGCCAUCUGUCACUCCACUGAUCACCAGGGUUGAUUAGGCUGGUCUGGCUGGCUAAGCAGGGAUGCCCGCCCUCUCUCAGUGCUCCCUGUGCGUACCUCCAGAAGCUGUGCUCAGUAGAAGAGGGCAAAGUUCCCUGACAGAGAACCAUUGGCAGUCAUGGGUAUAAUGAGACAACUGUGCUCCCCGCUAGAACCUCCGAAUGAGCUCUCAAGCCAUGACUUCUUAGAAACAGUCGAGGUCUCUUUGCAAAGCAAUCCCAUAGUAAAUCAGCUACAACCUUGGACCCUGAAAACCUGGCAGUGCUAACAUGA